GAGUGGUGAUUGACGUGCAUGGGUAUGUUGGAUCCCUGCUUGGGCAGCGACAAUAUAUCUUGCUCGACUCUUCAGUUGUUGGCAUAGGCAUGUUGAGCCUUUGUCUUAAUAUGCUUUCUUGUGUUGCAUACCCCAUUAAAAGGGCAUUUAAUUUGUUCAAUUUCAUCAGUUCUCUUCUUGUUGUGUCCCCUCGGAUUUUGGCAUGUAGUGAACUUUAAAGCAUUGAUUGUGUUCCACUUUCCUUGCAUGUGCUCAUGCUUGGGUUGUUGGACCAUGAUCCUUGCUCGAUCUCUCGGUUGUGGAAUACCUUGUGGGCAUGAGGUGCUAGUCUCUAUUAGCCCUUAUUGAGCGUUUAACGCUACGUGCGAAUGACAAUUGUGGUCGUCUUGACUAAGGUCUUUAUGGCCUGGCUCAUACGGUCCAAGUGUCGAUGAGGAAUGCUACCUGGUUGAUCCUGCCAGUAGUCAUAUGCUUGUCUCAAAGAUUAA
RNAcentral lists this unclassified non-coding RNA (488 nucleotides) under Codonanthopsis ulei. RNAcentral's name for it is "partial contains external transcribed spacer and 18S ribosomal RNA". The stretch from base 442 to 488 matches the Rfam family "Eukaryotic small subunit ribosomal RNA", at positions 1 to 47 of the family's 1831-position model. The record is from RNAcentral. Lineage: Eukaryota; Viridiplantae; Streptophyta; Magnoliopsida; Lamiales; Gesneriaceae.